RNAcentral lists this ribosomal RNA (222 nucleotides) under uncultured Staphylococcus sp. Its description in RNAcentral is "partial 16S ribosomal RNA". It matches the Rfam family "Bacterial small subunit ribosomal RNA", at positions 140 to 354 of the family's 1533-position model. Lineage: Bacteria; Bacillati; Bacillota; Bacilli; Caryophanales; Staphylococcaceae. The record is from RNAcentral.
UGGAUAACUUCGGGAAACCGGAGCUAAUACCGGAUAAUAUUUCGAACCGCAUGGUUCGAUAGUGAAAGAUGGUUUUGCUAUCACUUAUAGAUGGACCCGCGCCGUAUUAGCUAGUUGGUAAGGUAACGGCUUACCAAGGCGACGAUACGUAGCCGACCUGAGAGGGUGAUCGGCCACACUGGAAUUGAGACACGGUCCAGACUCCUACGGGAGGCAGCAGGG